UCGAGCAACGCCGCGUGAAUGAUGAAGUACUUCGGUAUGUAAAAUUCUUUUAUUGAAGAAGAAAAAAUAGUGGGAAAAACUAUAUUGACGUUAUUCAAUGAAUAAGCCCCGGCUAACUAUGUGCCAGCAGCCGCGGAUAAUACAUAGGGGGCGAGCGUUAUCCGGAAUUAUUGGGCGUAAAGGGUGCGUAGGCGGUUUGAUAAGUCUCUAGUUUAAUUUCAGCGCUUAACGCUGUCCUGCUAGAGAAACUGUCUUACUAGAGUGAGAUAGAGGCAAGCGGAAUACCAUGCGUAGCAGUCAAAUGUGUAAAUAUGUGGAGGAACACCAGAGCCGUA
This 335-nucleotide ribosomal RNA is filed under the name Coconut lethal yellowing phytoplasma. RNAcentral's name for it is "bacterial SSU rRNA". It matches the Rfam family "Bacterial small subunit ribosomal RNA", at positions 387 to 719 of the family's 1533-position model. The record is from RNAcentral. Lineage: Bacteria; Bacillati; Mycoplasmatota; Mollicutes; Acholeplasmatales; Acholeplasmataceae.